This 56-nucleotide transfer RNA is filed under the name Schistosoma guineensis. Its description in RNAcentral is "tRNA-Ser". Lineage: Eukaryota; Metazoa; Platyhelminthes; Trematoda; Strigeidida; Schistosomatidae. The record is from RNAcentral.
UGUGGUCUAUGGAAGUAAAAUUUGUUAUCGCUGCUAACGAUGAUUUAGGAUUAUAU